This 402-nucleotide long non-coding RNA is filed under the name Vulpes vulpes (red fox). Its description in RNAcentral is "lncRNA (ENSVVUG00000029295.1)". The record is from RNAcentral. Lineage: Eukaryota; Metazoa; Chordata; Mammalia; Carnivora; Canidae.
AUGCCUGAAAUGGAGGUUCAGAAUUCUGUUUCAUCACAAAGGUUUUAUGACAAUUCCCAGGAAAUCAGUGAACAAGGAAAUAAAAUUCAAGGUUGCGGCUGCCUUGGAUGUGAGGCUGUCUGCAUCUCAGGAGAUACAACCUGUAAUCCUCUGUGGGCAGAACUCUACAGUUUACGUGGUGGAUCAUUAUGUUUGUCUCAUAACCCCAUCCUCCCACCCCAGAUGGAUAACCAGCUUGCUAAGCACCAUUUAUUAUCCCAACACCAUCUUUUCUCCCAGUUCCCUAUGUCUAGACUAUUCAGAUCUGUUGAUCUGUCUACUUCUGGGCCAAUACCAAACUUUAAUGAGCAGAGCUUUCUUUUACUGCCUGAUAAGGAAGCUCAUCCCAAGAAAGUGAUCUAA